GCAGGUUUUGGAGUGUCACUUUCAGGUUCUUUCCAACCUGGACAAAGGGACCUUGAAGCUGCUGGCUGAGAAUGAGCGGCUGCUGUGCUUCUCACCAGCUCUGCAAGGCCGCCUUCGAGCUGCCUAUGAGGGCAGUGUUGCCAAGGUAGUAACCCCAGCUUAGUUGCCCACUAGCCUGGACCUAACCCUUCCUAGCUUUCAUAAAUUCAGGCAACCCUGCUGACGACACUUCAGUGUAAUGUGAGCUAACUCUGGGCAAGAAUAAGAGGGAGAAGUUUUCUCAGCAUGACCCUGCAGUUCCUAACGUUCCUGCUGUAUUUUAGGUCUCUCUGGUGAUGCCUCCCUCUACUCAAGCUGUCUCCUUUCAGCCAGAGACUGACAAUCGUGCCAACUUCUCCAGUGACCGAGCCUUUCAUACUUUUAAGAAACAGAGGGAUGUGUUUUAUGAGGUGCUGCGAGAGUGGGAAGAUCACCAUGAGGAGCCUGGCUGGGAUUUUGAGAAGGGCUUGGGCAGCAGAAUCAGGUGGGUGCUCAGACCUUGUCUUUCUUGUUCCUGGCAAUGAGUAGCUCAGUGCUUGCUCGGUGGCAGGAGGGAGGAGGAGGGAAGGCUUUUCCCCACUCCUACCAGCCAUUAGCUGUUUUCUUCUAUCCUCCGAAAUCUCUUUAGUUAUUGAUAACUCUGCCUCUACUCGAAAGGGAUGUGUCUCUCCAGCUCCUUCCACUCACAGGUGUCUUAUCCUUGUUCUGUAGUGGCAAUUGCUUAGAAAGUCCAAAGCUCUUAACCCAGGUUGCUUGAGGGUUUUUUUGGCCCAAGUCACUGGUUAGACACAUCCAGCCUCCAUCUUCUCCAUCGUCUAAUUUGGGCAAGUCUGGUCACUGUGUACGUAGAUGCCUGGGUUCAGAACGCGAACCUCAGUCCAGUCAUCUCCCUUCACAUUGCUCAUGAAACCCGCCGCCUGUUAGUGUGGCUGAAGACGGUUGGGGGGUGCGGUCGCAUGAUUUCUUGUUUGGUUAAGUGCACUUCUAGCCUCGGAGGACCUUGGUGCUGAGGGAGUGUCCCUUUGCAGGCUGGCUCUGGCUGAGGUCUGCUCAAGUCCCUGGUAAACGGCUGGGAAGUCCAGGGGUUGGCUGCUUCUCUCAGAUCUUUCUCCCUCUCCCUCCUUUCCACACCCUUCAUUCCUGCCUU
This 1186-nucleotide long non-coding RNA is filed under the name Pan troglodytes (chimpanzee). RNAcentral's name for it is "long non-coding RNA NONPTRT005608". Lineage: Eukaryota; Metazoa; Chordata; Mammalia; Primates; Hominidae. The record is from RNAcentral.